Long non-coding RNA from Monodelphis domestica (gray short-tailed opossum), 482 nucleotides. RefSeq lists it as uncharacterized. The record is from RefSeq and is a predicted model, not a curated record. NCBI's taxonomy places the organism in Eukaryota, Metazoa, Chordata, Mammalia, Didelphimorphia, Didelphidae.
GACCACAGUUUCCGUGUCACAUGGAGGCUCACGGUUUGGGGAGAGCGGGCUCUAGGGCUGGACUCACCGGGAGGGAAAAGGAGAGUACAGACGGCCCUCCCUCUCAGUGGGACUGCUCCGAGAAAACAAGCAGGCAAUAAACAUCAUUCUGAACAGGCAUCCCAGUGCUUCCCCAGACUGCCCAAAGGAGGGCCAAGACAUAUUAAGAUGAUGAAGAAGCCCUUCUCUUCUCUGUUAACAAAUGAAACACAGAACUGUACCUGUCCUGAGAUAUGAGAGAAAGAAAAACAGACUACAUCGAUUCCAACUGCUGAAUUGAUCACUACUACUAGACUAUGGAUCAGAGGCUGAAAAACAUUGUACUAUUAUUGGCAAAUUAAGUCUAUUUCUGUUAUGGAAUUAAGUUUUCUUGCCUUUUUUAUUCCAUCCUUCAAAGUUCUAUCUUAUAGUUUGUGUGAUACCAUUUUAUCCAUGAACAUAUU